AAUGUGGCGUGCAUUUGUAUUCAGCCCCUUAUACUCUGAUACCCUUAAAUAAAAUCCAGUUUGUCCAAUUGUCUUCAGAAGUCACCUAAUUAGUAAAUAGAGUCCACCUGUGUGUAAUUUAUUCUCAGUCUAAUUACAGUUGUUCUGUGAAGGCCUCCGAGCCUUUUUAGACAACACU
This is a long non-coding RNA of Bufo bufo (common toad), 178 nucleotides long. RefSeq lists it as uncharacterized. Lineage: Eukaryota; Metazoa; Chordata; Amphibia; Anura; Bufonidae. The transcript is spliced from 3 exons. The record is from RefSeq and is a predicted model, not a curated record.